CUCCAGAACAAGGACCUCCCCGGUGCCCCAUUGGAACGUUUACACCAAUUAAUCAGAACGUUCUCACUUGCAACAUAGGUGUGAAACUGCAAGGGAAGUAAUUAAUGAGUGCUCCCCUAUGUGGCAGCCAUUUCAUAUAGACGAAUGCCGUCCAGGCAUUCAUAUCCCAAAAGGAGAUGCUUCCCUUGCAGGGUUUCACCCAGAGAUCUCACGAGUAGAGCCUGGACGAGGAAGGUACCGCUGUGAG
Pelobates cultripes (western spadefoot toad) is the source of this 247-nucleotide non-coding RNA. The record is from the annotation of a GenBank genome assembly. Lineage: Eukaryota; Metazoa; Chordata; Amphibia; Anura; Pelobatidae.